GUGAAUCAUCAAAUUUUUGAACGCAAAUUGCGCUUCCUGGUAUCCCGGGAAGUAUGCCUGUUUGAGGGUCAGUAUUAACAAAAAAUCGGUUUGGUUGCAAAUUGUGACGUUUCCGGAGUUUGGGCUUAUCUUAACUUUUUUGUUUAAGGGGCUUAAAAUUAACUUUUUUUGGCAAUUUUUAGACGACCUUAAUUUUUUUUUUUUUCUUCUUUUCUUAAUGCCAAAAUUU
RNAcentral lists this unclassified non-coding RNA (229 nucleotides) under Glomeraceae sp. RNAcentral's name for it is "partial contains 5.8S ribosomal RNA and internal transcribed spacer 2". The stretch from base 1 to 71 matches the Rfam family "5.8S ribosomal RNA", at positions 84 to 154 of the family's 154-position model. Lineage: Eukaryota; Fungi; Glomeromycota; Glomeromycetes; Glomerales; Glomeraceae. The record is from RNAcentral.